GCCUUCGUGGUGUAGUGGUCGAGCACAUUCGGCGAGGAACCCAGAGGUCCGUGGUUCGAUUCCCGGCAAAGGUG
This 74-nucleotide transfer RNA is filed under the name Stegodyphus mimosarum. It matches the Rfam family "tRNA". From Rfam's summary of the family: Transfer RNA (tRNA) molecules are approximately 80 nucleotides in length. Their secondary structure includes four short double-helical elements and three loops (D, anti-codon, and T loops). The record is from Rfam by way of RNAcentral. Lineage: Eukaryota; Metazoa; Arthropoda; Arachnida; Araneae; Eresidae.